This 1116-nucleotide ribosomal RNA is filed under the name Pseudomonas aeruginosa. RNAcentral describes it as "partial 23S ribosomal RNA". It matches the Rfam family "Bacterial large subunit ribosomal RNA", at positions 1769 to 2879 of the family's 2925-position model. Lineage: Bacteria; Pseudomonadati; Pseudomonadota; Gammaproteobacteria; Pseudomonadales; Pseudomonadaceae. The record is from RNAcentral. RNAcentral also lists the same sequence under 1 other name.
CUGGCUGGUCGAAGAUACCAGGCCGCUGCGACUGUUUAUUAAAAACACAGCACUCUGCAAACACGAAAGUGGACGUAUAGGGUGUGACGCCUGCCCGGUGCCGGAAGGUUAAUUGAUGGGGUUAGCGCAAGCGAAGCUCUUGAUCGAAGCCCCGGUAAACGGCGGCCGUAACUAUAACGGUCCUAAGGUAGCGAAAUUCCUUGUCGGGUAAGUUCCGACCUGCACGAAUGGCGUAACGAUGGCGGCGCUGUCUCCACCCGAGACUCAGUGAAAUUGAAAUCGCUGUGAAGAUGCAGUGUAUCCGCGGCUAGACGGAAAGACCCCGUGAACCUUUACUGUAGCUUUGCACUGGACUUUGAGCCUGCUUGUGUAGGAUAGGUGGGAGGCUUUGAAGCGUGGACGCCAGUUCGCGUGGAGCCAUCCUUGAAAUACCACCCUGGCAUGCUUGAGGUUCUAACUCUGGUCCGUAAUCCGGAUCGAGGACAGUGUAUGGUGGGCAGUUUGACUGGGGCGGUCUCCUCCUAAAGAGUAACGGAGGAGUACGAAGGUGCGCUCAGACCGGUCGGAAAUCGGUCGCAGAGUAUAAAGGCAAAAGCGCGCUUGACUGCGAGACAGACACGUCGAGCAGGUACGAAAGUAGGUCUUAGUGAUCCGGUGGUUCUGUAUGGAAGGGCCAUCGCUCAACGGAUAAAAGGUACUCCGGGGAUAACAGGCUGAUACCGCCCAAGAGUUCAUAUCGACGGCGGUGUUUGGCACCUCGAUGUCGGCUCAUCACAUCCUGGGGCUGAAGCCGGUCCCAAGGGUAUGGCUGUUCGCCAUUUAAAGUGGUACGCGAGCUGGGUUUAGAACGUCGUGAGACAGUUCGGUCCCUAUCUGCCGUGGACGUUUGAGAUUUGAGAGGGGCUGCUCCUAGUACGAGAGGACCGGAGUGGACGAACCUCUGGUGUUCCGGUUGUCACGCCAGUGGCAUUGCCGGGUAGCUAUGUUCGGAAAAGAUAACCGCUGAAAGCAUCUAAGCGGGAAACUUGCCUCAAGAUGAGAUCUCACUGGGAACUUGAUUCCCCUGAAGGGCCGUCGAAGACUACGACGUUGAUAGGCUGGGUGUGUAAGCGUUGU